AUCGGGUACGGGGACCGUGUCAGGCGGGCAGUUUGACUGGGGCGGUCGCCUCCUAAAGAGUAACGGAGGCGUUCCAAGGUUCCCUCAGAAUGGUUGGAAAUCAUUCGAAGAGUGCAAAGGCAGAAGGGAGCUUGACUGCGAGACCUACAAGUCGAGCAGGGACGAAAGUCGGACUUAGUGAUCCGGUGGUACCGCAUGGAAGGGCCAUCGCUCAACGGAUAAAAGCUACCCUGGGGAUAACAGGCUUAUCUCCCCCAAGAGUCCACAUCGACGGGGAGGUUUGGCACCUCGAUGUCGGCUCAUCGCAUCCUGGGGCUGAAGUAGGUCCCAAGGGUUGGGCUGUUCGCCCAUUAAAGCGGUACGCGAGCUGGGUUCAGAACGUCGUGAGACAGUUCGGUCCCUAUCUGUCGUGGGCGUAGGAAAUUUGAGAGGAGCUGUCCUUAGUACGAGAGGACCGGGAUGGACGUACCGCUGGUGCACCAGUUGUU
Molecule: ribosomal RNA, 488 nt
Filed under: Paenibacillus agri
Lineage: Bacteria; Bacillati; Bacillota; Bacilli; Caryophanales; Paenibacillaceae
Description: Bacterial large subunit ribosomal RNA
Rfam family: Bacterial large subunit ribosomal RNA
Source: Rfam by way of RNAcentral